Ictidomys tridecemlineatus (thirteen-lined ground squirrel) is the source of this 69-nucleotide non-coding RNA. Lineage: Eukaryota; Metazoa; Chordata; Mammalia; Rodentia; Sciuridae. The record is from Rfam.
GGGGUUGUGGCUCAGCAAUAGAGCGCUCACCUAGAAUGUGUGAGGCCCUGGGUUCAAUUCUCAGCACCA